This is a long non-coding RNA of Lathyrus oleraceus (garden pea), 765 nucleotides long. RefSeq lists it as uncharacterized. The record is from RefSeq and is a predicted model, not a curated record. The transcript is spliced from 2 exons. Lineage: Eukaryota; Viridiplantae; Streptophyta; Magnoliopsida; Fabales; Fabaceae.
AUUCUUCAAGAGUUUUUCUCUCUCUAACUCCUAAAGCAGAUGUACGCUCUGCAAUUACACACUCCCUCUCUCUUUGACCUAUCUGCCGGAGAAGAAGAUGGCAGACGGCCAUCCACGGUGGCGCCGCCCCUCUACUCCGGCGAACAAACAAAAAUUCCACCUUCCCCGUUAAAAUACUCUCCUGAGUUUGAAUUUGAACUCAGAUUCUUCACCAUUAUCCCUAAUCGUCCGGAUCGGGGACGUCUAACUAAAACCCUAAGACCAAAAUCGAAUCAACAAUAGUGAAGGUCUCCCCCAAUCAAACAUGGAUUCCUCUCAAGUCUGCAAGGUGAGUACAAAGGUGAAGCGGAGGAAAGAAAAGAAGAGAUAAAGGAGAGAGGAGUAUACUACCUCAGAAUUAGUCUGAAGGGCGCACCUCCGGCGAGCUUAGGUGAAGUGAUGUUGAUGCUGAUUGAUUGAAAAAGGGGUUGUUAUUCAACAGGCUUUGGAAAAGUUCUGAAGAGUUGGUUUUGAAUUGGGAACUUCCAAAAGAGCUUUUGGAAGAGUAUGCGAAAUUUGCUUCAAACUGCUGUGUUAACAGCUUAUUCUAAUUUUUUUAAUAAAAUUAUUUCUGAUGUAACAGAGACUUUUUGGAUUAUGAAUUUAGGGAUUGCUUGUAACAUGUACAAAUUUAAUUUGGAAUUUCUCUUUUUGGACAGUUAUGUAAUUGUUUUGGAUUAUUAGGAAUUUUUUGGAAUAAAUUUAAAUUAUGUAAUUACCUUUUAA